Molecule: long non-coding RNA, 1125 nt
Organism: Spinacia oleracea (spinach)
Lineage: Eukaryota; Viridiplantae; Streptophyta; Magnoliopsida; Caryophyllales; Amaranthaceae
Exons: 5
Source: RefSeq, a predicted model, not a curated record
CUAUUAAAAAAAGAAAAAAGAAAAGAAAAAAAAAGGGGUAAAACAAGCCAAGUUAAUCACAUCAACCUCCACGGAAACAAACAGAGCAACCCACCUUCCUCUUGUGGCGCUCAUUGCUCAAGCCAGGAAGUAAAAAAAAACCUCCAUCAUCCCACAAAAAUAUUUAAAGAGAAAAUUCAAAAUCUAUCAAGAAGAACUUAACAUUCAGUUGGAGAUCUCCCAUAUUCUUCUCCACGAUUCUGAGAUGGAAAACACCAAUUUUUUCCCUCCAAAAACCCCGGCAUAAUUUGUGCAUAUCAGGUUAUGGAAACUGCAAUUAGGUUUUAUUAUUUUCCUUAAUUAGUCUGUCUCUCUCGUUCUACGCAUCUAUUCCCGAAAUUAUUCAAAGAAAGCACGAACAAUCACUCCUAGCAGGCGGCACCGAUACGAAGAUCAACUCACGCAUUGAAAUUCAGUUGGUGUUAUUAUGUUCUACAGGUUCUGACAUGCUGCACUCCUUUGGUUUGCUAAUGGUCGUCAAUCCUGAAACGGAGAAAGGGAUAUUUGAUACUAUACUGCAAGGACAUAUUGAUUGUGAAAGUAAGCCGUGGCCAUCAAUCUCAAACGGUGCCAAGGACCUAGUGAAGAAGAUGUUGACACCGAAUCCUAAAAAAAGAGUAACUGCUGCUCAAGUUCUUGAUCAUCCAUGGCUCAAGGAUGGUGAAGCCUCUGACAAGCCAAUACAAUUUUCCCUGUGAACAUGUUGUCUGUUCUUCAUUGGCCAUAGCCUAUAGAUGUUGCUACAGUUGUUUGUAUCGUACUUUGUUGGUUCUACAGAUAGUUGUGUUCUGCUAUAAAUCUCUACAAGCCUCAAAUUCCGUUCUUCUCCGUUUAUGCUCAGUUAGCCAGGAGUCAAGAUGCAAUAGAGAUUGUAAGCCAAAGCUGCAGGGAAGUAGGGAAUUCGUAGUAGCAGUUGAAGACCUUAUCUGUUAUAAUUGGUUGUUUGAGCUCCUUUUAGGAACUUUUUAUCAUAAUUGACUAUGGUUAACUUUUCUAAGGGUUGUCUUACCUUUAUGGCUUUCAAAGUGUUGUUUUCCAGGUGUUUGUUUGUUUUAGCUUGUACAAACGCUAUUUCCUUUGGGUUAC